This 458-nucleotide long non-coding RNA is filed under the name Anser brachyrhynchus (Pink-footed goose). RNAcentral's name for it is "lncRNA (ENSABRG00000017422.1)". The record is from RNAcentral. Lineage: Eukaryota; Metazoa; Chordata; Aves; Anseriformes; Anatidae.
AUCUGACUUAAAUUUAGAAGUGGUCAGCAUAAGAAAGAGUUAGGGAGAGACAGACAGAGCAGGAGAUAUGCAGUGGACUAGUCUUAGCACUCAGCUAUUAGCAUUUGUUACCAGCACACCAAGCAAUCCAGCAGCACUGUUGUGCAGGCAUCAGCACUGGAGCCUCUCUUCCUUGAGACUCUGGUUUUAAAAAACAGAUGAUUAUGCAGGAGUAGUAUUUUCAGCAUCUUUUUACAUGGAAAGAUGGAAUGUGUCUGGCACAAGGAUUUAAAGUUGUUGCUGACUUUGUAUUCUGCUGUACCACAACACUUUGUAGAGGAAAAGGAAAGCAAAUGUGCAGAGUUGCCAGGAUACGGAUUUAUUCAGAACUUCAGCAGCCUGGCACUUCUACUGUGAAGUUCCUUCCCCCUUGCCUCACUCCCUCAUGCUCCAGCAGCAGGCAGAUAGACAAGAAAUAG